ACUGGUGGGACAAGCCUACACUAAGGCUGAGCAUUCAUAAUUAAUAAUAAUCUUCAUCUUUUUAUUUGUGCGCUGGUUGGAGGCCCAACGAAAAUUCCAACUACAUUGAUGUCAUAAACAAAACGUACCUGAAAGAUGUUUACAGAACAGUUUACCCAAACACGAAAUAAGGUACCAUCUUUUUAGAAGCUCAUGGAAAUUUCUCAAAAAUUGACCUCACAAGCACACAAGUGUUAACUAAUAGAAGAAAACUGAACUAACUCCCUGCAUCCUGUCUCACUAGCACUGUUUAGAUCUGAACAUCAGCAACAGAAACAACAGAAAGCUUAUAAGCUUAUUGAAGCUAAACAGCUCACUCACUACUCAGUGAAAAAUGGGUCAAAAAAGAAAUUUAAAACUUCCUAGAGUUGACUGAAAAUGAAAACACAGUGUAUUCAAACUGACAGGACAUUAUGAAGGCAGUUUUAAGAGGCAAACUCAUGGCACUAAGUAACUAUAUAAAGAAAUCAGAGCAAUCCCAUUCUAGUAACUUAAUAGCACACCUGAAAGAUAUAGAACAAAAAGAAAUCACACCCUAAAGAAGUAGACAGCAAGAAAUAAUCAAACUCUGGGCUAAAAUCAAUAAAAACAUUACAAAGAAUCAAUGAAACAAAGAGUUGUUUGAGAAAAUCAGAAAGAUUGACAAACUCUUAGUCAAAUUAACUAAAAGGUAGAGAGAGAGAAUAUCCAAAAUAACAAAAUUAGAUAUGAAAGGGGAGACAUAAAAGCACACACCAAGGAAAUUCAGAGAAUCAUAAACUUUAAAAGCCAAUAAUCCACCAAACUGAAAUUUUAUAUUUUUUUUAUAUAGACCACCUACCAAAGUUAAAUCUAGAUCAGAUAAGCAAUUUAAACAGAUUUAUAACUUCAAGUGAAAUAGAAGCAGUCUUUACUAGUCUCCCAACCAAUAUAGCUUAGGGACCAGAUGGUUUUAGUGCAGAAAUCUAUCAGACUUUCAAAGAAGAGUUAACCAAGGCUUCUCAUAUUAUUUCACAAAAUAGAAACGGAAUAGUUCCCAAUUCAUUUUAUGAGGCCAUAGUUACCCUGAUACCAAAACCAUAUCGAGACCCAAUGAAAAAAAUUACAGACCAGUUCCCCUUGUGAACAUAGAUGCAAAAAUACUCAACAAAAUACUUCAUACCAAAUCCAAGAACACAUCAGAAAGAUCAUCCACCAUGAUCAAGUAGGUGUCAUCCCUGAGAUGUAGAGAUGGUUCAACAUAUAUAAAUUGAUAAAUGUAAUCCACCAUAUAAACAGACUGAAAGACAAAAACCACAUGGUCAUCACAUUAGAUAUAGAAAAGGCCUUUAACAAAAUCCAACACUCCUUCAUGAUAAAAGUCCUGGAGAGAUUAGGGAUAGAUACACAGGACAUAUCUAAACACAAAAAAAAGGCAGGCAACAGCAAGCGUACACCCAACAUCAACUUAAAUGGAGAAAAGCUCAAAGAAAUUCCACCAAAAAUCAGCAGCAAGACAAGGUUGCCCACUCCAUACUUAUUCAAUUUAGUACUUGAAGUUUUAGCUAAAGCAAUAAGACAACUAAAAGAAAUCAAAGGGAUACAAACUGGAAAGGAAGAAGUCAAAGUAUUAUUUUUAGAUGAUAUGAUCGUAUACAUAAGUGACCCUAAAAAUUCCACAGGGAAUUCCUACAGAUGAUAAACAAUUUCAGUAAAGUAGCUGGAUACAAAACUAAAAAAAAUAAUCGUCAGCCCUCCUAUAUACAAAUGACAAAUGAACAGAGAAAGAAAUCAGGGAAAAGAAUACCUUUCUCAAUAGCCUCAAAAAUAUAAAAUACUUUGGGGCAAGUGAAAGACUUGCAUGAUUAAAACUUUAAGGUGAAAAAAGAAAUUGAAGAAGAUACCAGAAAAUGGAAAGAUCUCCCAUGCUCAUGGGUUUGUGAGAUUAAUAUAGUAAAAAAAAAAAUGGCUAGUCUACCAAAAGUAACCAACAGAUUCAACACAAUCCCCAUCAAAAUCCCAACACAAUUCUUCACAUGUAUUAAAAGGACAAUUUUCAGCUUCAUAUGGAAACACAACAAAAUUCAGAAGAGCUAAAAAUCCCAAACAAUCCAAGAACUGCUGGAGGUAUCACCAUCCCCAAUGUCAAAUUUUGCUAUAGAGCUAUAGCAAUAAAAUUAGCAUGGUAUUGGCACAAAAGCAGACAUAUUGAUCAGUGGAGUUGAACUGAAGACCGAAACAUAAAUCCACACACAUAUGGACAUCUGACUUUUAAAAAAGAAGACAUAAAAACACACUGGGAAAAAGACAGCGUCUUCAACAAAUGGUGCUGGUCAAAUUGGAUGACUGUAUGUAGAGAAUCCUAACAGAUCUAUGCUUAUUACCCUAUACAAAACUCAACUCCAAAGGAAUCAAAGACCUCAGCAUAAGACCUGAUACACUGAAUCUGACAGAAAAGAAAGCGAGGAGUACCCUUGAACUCAUUGGCACAGGAAAAGACUUUAUAAACAGAACCACUGUUAGCACAGGCAUUAAGAUCAACAACUAACAGAUGGUACCUCAUCAAACUGAAAAGUUUCUGCAUGGCAAGGGACACCACCAUUUGAACAAAGUGGCAGCCUACAGAAUGGGGAGAGAAUUUUUUUUUUUUUUACCAACUACGUUUCUGAUAAAGGACUAAUAUCCAAAUUAUAUAAAGAACUCAACCAGGCAGUGGUGGCCUUUAAUCCUAGAAUUCGAGAGGCAGAGACAAGCAUAUUUCUGUGAGUUCAAGACCAGCCUGGUCUAGAGUCAGUUCCAGAACAUGUUCCAUGGCUACACACUAAAUAACCCAGGUUGUUGCAAUAGCUACAGGUUGCUCUCCAAAAUCUGAUGGUGAGGCCCUAUUGCUAAAAAUAACACUUACAUAAUUCAUUGAAUGUAGUCAAGUUGAGCUGGUGCCUGCCUAGAACCUUCACCCCAUUGGCUAGUGUUUUUGGUAAAGGAAGGUACUCUGCAUGCUACCAAAGGAGAAAGGUAAACAUCAAUCCAACUACAAAUCCUUCCAUCUACAAUGGUGUCCUCUCUGCAAGUUAUGUUAGUGCAAUGCUGGCACAAAGCUUGUAGGAGUAGCCAAUAUCUGAUCUGACUUGAGGCUCACUCCAUGAAAGAAACCAUACCCCAAACUGCUUGGGUGUCUAAGAAGCUGAGACUCGAUAGCUCAGGGACCUAGUGUAAAACCAAAAUCUACUGAUCUUUAAAAAGAAACAAAAAAAGUCGCAAUAAAAUGACUCCCAGUGACAUUCUACUAUACUCAUAGAUCAGUGCCUUGUUCAGCCAUCAUUAGAGAGGCUUCCUCCUGCAGCAGAUGGGAACAAAUACAGAGAGCCACAGCCAGACAGUGUGCAGAUAUUGAGAGAACUUGGAACACUCAGACCUAACAGGUUGUCUCCAUCAAAUCCCUCCCUGCCAAGGCUCAGGGAACCCUACAGAAGAGAAGGCAGAGUAUAAGAACCAGAGGGAAUGGAAGAUACCUAGGAAUCAAAAUCUAAACACAAGACUAACGCACAUAUGAACACACAGAGACUGAGGCACCAUGCCCAGGGCCUGAAGCUAUCUCCAAUUGAUAACCAUUUACAAGUGAAAAUUAAGUUUUCUCCUAGGGAGUCUCACCAGGAAGACAAACUACUCCUAAGGGUAGGCUGAAUACUAACAGUGGAUGGUCAGCAGAGAGUGAACCCAGAGGUGUAUAGGAGGCUCCUUGUCUCAUCAUGUCCUGCCAGGGCCUUUUAUUAUUGAUUUUUAUUUAGUUUUUUUUCCUCUUUACAAGUUUAGUGUAUAUAAUAUGGCUUCCAGUUUUGUGUUUUUAUGGGAUUCCUGAAUACGUGAGCAAGUGGGUCUCUGUGUCUAUUUCUAAUUCUUGGGCCUUCUUUUGGGCUCUUUUCCUUCUAUUUGUUUGUUUUGUCCUAUUCCAAUUUGUUUGUGUUCUAUUAUGUUUUAUUUUAUUAAAUAAAUAUUAAUAAAAUAUUAUUUUAUGUUAUUGAAGAUAAAAGUCCGAGUUGGCAAAUGGACACUUUCCCAAUGAAUCAGAAUGUGGGAAUUUUCAUUCUAAACUCCAGUAAGUUACAGCAAAGUCGUUUCAACCAUAUAAGUAAUGAAUGUUGCUAUGGUCGCACUAAAGAACAGGAGUAUGCAUUUUAUUAAGUAAAAGAGUUGUUUAGUGAGAGACAUCUUUCUUUUUGCAGAGUAGUUCACCUGUUUUCUAGAACUGAAAUGAAGGUCUGCUGACCGUGUCCAGGGAUGACCGUGAACAGGCUGCAGUCUGUGUACUGGGGAGAAAGGGGGAAUUCCCACAAGGGUUUGUUUUUUUCCCCAGAUGAGUAUUGGCAUACUAUCUUCAGCUUAUAAACUACUAUUGGCUAUAUUUUUAUUUCAAACAUCUCCUUUUCCUUGUCAAAAAUAACUUUAAUAUUUCCUCCGGCAUUUGGAUUUAUCCAAAAUGUUAUCCUAACAUUCAGGAAGCAAGCUUGGGCAUUUCGGUGUCUUCAGCGUGGAGAGGGUCAUGGUGUUUGGAGCAGGUGAACAGAAUGGCCCUGUGACUUCUCAGCUCUCUUUUCAGCUUCUGGAGUCUGUGUGCCAGUUUUAAACAGAUGGCGUUGUUAUACGGCUUGCCUUCCUUCUCUAUAACUUCCUCCAAGGAAAUCAGCCUGCGCUCUAUAACCUCCCAUCCAAACACAGCAAGUGAAGCAUGGGACACCGCUUCAUUUCCUCCAGAGGAGACAUGGCAAAGAUUCUCUCCGCUCUGGAAUUCAAGGUUGAAUGACAGCUGCUUCUUAAAGAAAUUGUAGGGGCUUGUGGGAUAGCUCAGCAGGCAAAAGCGCUUGCCACCAAGCCUGCUUACCUGAGUUUGAUUCCUGGAAGCCAGAUGGGGGAGGGGAACACCAGUUCCUGCAAACCACACUCAGGCCAAGGUGACACACACCUCGUGUGCGCACACACACACAGACACACACACAUCCAUGAAGGAAAGGAAUUAUAAAACCUUUGUAUAUAGGGAGAGGAGAGGAAGGAAGGGGAGUGGGAGGAAUGUAUAACUUAACAAAAACAAUUUUAAAAACUUUGUAUAUUGAGAAAGUACCCCACCUGCUUCAGAGAAUCAGUUAUUUCUGUCUUUUUUUUUUUUUUUUUUUUGACUUAGGAAAUACACAACACAAGGAAGGCAGUGUAAUCUCUGAAAAAUAAAAACCCAAUUCCUUCUAUUUGUCUGGUCUGGAGUAAUAGUAAGAAAUAAGGGCCCUUCCUCAUUGCCAAUACCAUUUUCUUAUUAAUUCAUCAAGUCAGAUUGGAGUGUGUGUGUGUGUGUGUGUGUGUGUGUGUGUGUGUGUGGUGGUGGUGGUGGUUUGAAUGAGAAUGGCCCCCAUUGGCGCCUGUAUUUGAAUGUUUGAGGCCCAGUUGGUAGAGCUGUUGAGAGGAUUAGGAACUGUGGCCUUGUUGAAGGGGUUGUGUUCCCGGGAGUGAGCUGAGGUUUUAAGGCUUGUGCUUCCAGUUGGCUCUUUCCUUCCCUUGUGGGCCAGGGUUAAGCUCUCAGCUGCUGCUCCAGUGCUCCGUGCUCCUGCCUGCUGUCGCCACCAUAAGGUCACCGACUCUAGACCUCUGGAACUGUAAGCAAGUCCCCAAUAAGCUUCCCUGGGCAUGGUUUCUCCUCACAGCAAUAGAAAAGUAACUAAGACAAUGUGUAAAAGAUUUUUUUCAGAUAUUUGGAAAGAAAAAGAGGUUUAUAUGCAGGCUACACUGUGAUAAAUUCUAGGCAAAGGAGUGAUUUGCUAAGAGAACAUAGGAAGGCUGCUGAGACAGUGAAGCAAGAAUGGAGACUGGCAUGUUUUCUGGUAUGAGGCAGAGUUCGCCUCUUGAAAAGGUCAGCUUGUUUCUGUAUGUGAUUCGUGAUGACAAGUCCAUCAGGAGUGAGUCUGCUCCGGGGCUCAGCGUCUACUGUCAUCCUUAGCCAUCAGGGUCCCACAAGGAUGCAGAGUGGCUUGAGAUGUGGGAUGGAGAAGCUCGACUUAUGCUCAUUGGAGCUGGGGAGGCGGCAUCUUCACGCCUCUGCUGGUGGGCAGGUACUCAAAGGAGCUUAGACCUUUCCAGGAAAGUAAUGCUAUUGGCUGGGUUGGUAGUGACCUGGCAUUAGGUGACUUUGUAAACAGUGGGCCACACUAAACCGUAAAUGGCAUGUGAGCUAGGGAAGAAUGUACCCAUCUUCAGUGUGACUUUCUUCCACACACAGGGUGUAUAGAAACAGAACGGGUAGAAUGCAUAUACAUAAAGGGUUUCUUAGAAUGGUUUACACGAUGUGGUCUGGCUAGCCCAACAGUGGCUGUCUCCCGAUGGAAAGGCCAAGAAUCCCAUUUCUUCAGCCCACGAGGCUGCCACCUCAGCAGUCCAGAGGAGCCUAGAGAACUGCUGCCCUUCAGUCUGUGUUGGAAUCCCAAAGAAGCAGGUUCGAACACCAGCAAAGGAAAGCCUCAGUCACGGGAUAGAUGAACUCUAUAGCCAGCAAGUGCGAGGGCCAGCAGGCAGAAAGUAAAAGCUUCCUUUGUCUGUGUCCUUUCGUGUGACCUGGAUUUAGGAUGGGUCUUUGAACUCAAGGGAUCCAAUCAGGAAAAUCCAUCGCAGGUGUGCCCAGCUGCUUGCGUUUCAGUUGAUUCCAGCGACACGUCAGGUUGACAGCUGAGAUCAGCCAUCAUAUAGGGUAGGUAAUUCCUCAUAGCACUUUAGGGUUACUCUCUAACAGGUUAAAAAUGUUGAACCAUCUCCAUUGCUGGGAGCGAUUGCUUGUGCUAACUGCCAGCACAGCAGAGCUAGUUGGUCAGGCUAAGCAAUGUGGAAAGCCCCAUCUUACCUGUAGGCAGGGAUCCAGCUGAGCACCAGCAUUCGAAGCUCUCUGCUGCUACUCCACAGUUUGGGUCGUGUGGCUUGCUCCCUCCUUGACAAUGGGUGGCCGUCAUGUAACUAGCUCCCUUGAAUGGCUGCCAUUGUGACUUCUCUGUCCUGAUGGAUCAUACCCUGGAGCGGUGAGCCAAAUUGUUCACCGUGUUGCUUUAGUCAGAGCACUUAGUCACCACCGCAGUAAAUAAGCCAAGAGGCCAGCGUGACCUCAGGAGGCCAGGGUGAUGGCGCACAUCUGUAGUCUAGCAGUCAGGAGACAUAGGCAGGAGGCUCACAUGUUCAGCAUCACAUCGCUACAUAGCAAGUUCCAGGCUAGCCUGGGCUAUUAGAGACCAUGUCUAACUAAUUUUUUUUAAAGUUCUGUUUACUUGGAAUACUAAUUUACUUUGUGUUCUAUCCAAGAGAAGCCCCACCGUAGUUAAGAGAGAACAAAUACCCUUCUCCUACUCUCCCUCCCCCCAACACACACACACACACACACACACACACACACACACACCGUGUCAAACAGCAGAUUCUUUCUCUAUCACCAGGCUGGUCUUGAACUUAGGAUCCUUCUGCUCAACCUCUCAGUCCUAGUAUUCCAGAGAUGACACCGUACCCAGACAACCCUGUCCCUGCAUUGCUCCAGGAAGUGUCCUGACUGCGGAAGCAAGGGAAUGGAUGACACAUGGACACAGAGAAGCCAGAGCUGGGUGGAAGGGGUCCUCUGACGGCACCCUGGAAACCGCAGAAUAGAAGGUGGGGUUAUCACACACAGAUAAGCAAGACGGCAAGGCUAUUAUAUACAGGUGAACAAGGAGGCAGGGCUAGCUAAUCGAGGUAGGGGCAGUCUCCAUAAGAGAGCCAUGUUUAGGCUACACACAUCCAGGGAGAGAAAGCUAUAGAGGACAUUAUCUGUACACACUGUCAACAUUUACAUUCAGACCAGAGGAAGGCUUUGCAGUCCCUUUGAGCAUCAAUAGUAAAGGGUUUGCCACUCCCACGAGGCUGAGGCAAUGGUGUUUUUGACGAGGCUAUGGCCCUUCAAGAAUACACAUUCACUCAGGGCUUCACUCAAUCCCUACACUCGGCUGAAUUUAUACAUUUAAAUAAAACAUGUGCCAAGGCCAGAUGGUGAUAGCGCAUGCCUUUAAUCCCAGCACUCGGGAGGCAGAGGCAGGCGAAUCUCUGUGAGUUCGAGGCCAGCCUGAUCUACACAAGGUAGUUCCAGGAUAGGCUCCAAAGCUACAGAGAAAUCCUGUCUUGAAACACUAAAAUAAAAAAAAAAUGUGCCUAAGAAAAUGAUAUUUCAAAAUGAAAAAAAUAUAAUUUUAAAUGUAUUAUCAUCUUGAUUUGAAUUAAACAUAAUCAGCUAACUUUUAAAAGUCAGUUCAUCUGCUGCUCAUUCUUUCUUGAUUGGUACCCACAUUCCGGCUCUCCACUCCCAGUGAGUGUGGCUUGUGGGCCCUUGCUUCCUGAUGCCCACAGCAAUGGCUCUCAACCUUGCCAGUGCUGCCACCCUUUAAUACAGUUCCUCAUGUUUUGCUGACCCCAACCAUAACAUUAUUUUCGUCGCUACUGUAACUAUAAUUAUGUUACUGUUGUGAGUCAUAAUGUAAAUAUCUGUGUUUUCUGAUGGUCUCAGGUGACCCCUGAGAAAGGGUCAUUUAACCCCCAAAGGGGUUGCUACCCUCAGGUUGACAACUGCUGGUCUAAAGCUUGAGAAAGACGAACUGUUCUGAAGAAAGAAAAGUGUGGUGUGAGAAGGAGGGAUUUAUGGGAGUUAAAGCAAUAAAUAUCAAGUUCAAGUCCCUGAAUCCCCUGUGUGUGUAGAGAUGCAAGGUUGUGCUAUGUAAAUGAGACUUCCCUUAGUGUGUCUGUGUCUCCAGGACUGCCCUGCAGUUACACAGCACACUAAACUCCAGCCCAUCCUCUGACUCUUCCUGGAAUGGACUGCAGGGACAGCUGCCGUUGCCACCUUCCCACUGACAUCUGCUGAUCUCCAUGGUCCCAGAGUGCCACGCUGCAGGAAAGCCCAGUCCAGGUCCUCUGACUUUUCCAACACUAAAUCUCUUGCUUGAUGUUCCUACGUGCCUGGAAUCGUUACUGAGCACAGCGAAUCAAGUCACAGUUCCACUAACCUAAAUCUAUGUGCAAGUUAAAAAAGGAAAACAACCAAUCAGAAGAAACAAAAACUUUGGUGAUGAUUAUAAUAACUCACAGGAAUUUUCAGCUGGAAUUGGGUUUUGAGCACAGUAAACAAAACUAUAUACAUAAAGUAGACAUUGCCUAUUCAUCUCUCUCUCCAUUGAAAACAUUUUGUGGGGUCAGGUGUUGUGGCACAUGUGUUUAAUUCCAGUCCUCAGGGAGGCAGAGGAAGGUGAGUCUCUGUGAAUUCCGGGACACCCAAGACUACACAGAGCAACCCUAUC
Alexandromys fortis (reed vole) is the source of this 9332-nucleotide long non-coding RNA. RefSeq lists it as uncharacterized. The transcript is spliced from 3 exons. The record is from RefSeq and is a predicted model, not a curated record. NCBI's taxonomy places the organism in Eukaryota, Metazoa, Chordata, Mammalia, Rodentia, Cricetidae.